RNAcentral lists this ribosomal RNA (665 nucleotides) under Umbelopsis vinacea. RNAcentral's name for it is "eukaryotic LSU rRNA". It matches the Rfam family "Eukaryotic large subunit ribosomal RNA", at positions 67 to 656 of the family's 3401-position model. The record is from RNAcentral. Lineage: Eukaryota; Fungi; Mucoromycota; Umbelopsidomycetes; Umbelopsidales; Umbelopsidaceae.
UACAAGGAUUCCCCUAGUAACGGCGAGUGAAGCGGGAAGAGCUCAAAUUUAAAAUCUAGUUUGCUUGCAAACUCGAGUUGUAGUCUGAAGAAACGUUUUCCAUGAAAGCUGAGGCACAAGUCCUUUGGAACAGGGCAUCAUAGAGGGUGAGAAUCCCGUCCAUGGUCUCAAGUCUUUCAUUUUGUGAUACGUUUUCUAAGAGUCAGGUUGUUUGGGAAUGCAGCCUAAAAUGGGUGGUAAAUUUCAUCUAAAGCUAAAUAUUGGCGAGAGACCGAUAGCGAACAAGUACCGUGAGGGAAAGAUGAAAAGAACUUUGAAAAGAGAGUUAAAAAGUACGUGAAAUUGUUGAAAGGGAACCGUUUGAAGCCAGUCUUGUUUUUUUGUGAUCAGUCUCAGCUUUGGCUGGGAUGCACUCUCAAUUUUACAGGUCAACGUCAGUUUGAGAAGUGGGAAAAAAAUUUGAGGAAUGUGGCCUUCGGGUGUUAUAGCCUCUUAUUAAAUACCAUUUCCUGGACUGAGGCUCGCAGCAAAAAUCUUGGCAGACUUGCUUCUGAGGUGAACCAUUAUUAAGACAGCUUGCUGACUUAGUUUUGUCUAACUUCACAGUAAGUUUCGCUUCUAAUUUGCUUAGGUCGUUGACAUAAUGGCUUUAAAUGACCCGCUUG